RNAcentral lists this unclassified non-coding RNA (1038 nucleotides) under Hevea brasiliensis (rubber tree). Lineage: Eukaryota; Viridiplantae; Streptophyta; Magnoliopsida; Malpighiales; Euphorbiaceae. The record is from RNAcentral.
UCUGGUUUCCUCUCACGCGCUCUGGUUAUUAAUUUAUGCUAUUCCGAAAAUACCCUAAUCGCCUCACUACUUUUACCGUUCCAUCCCUUUUUCUCCUAAAACCCGCCAUUUAUAUAUAAACCGUCUUCUCUGUUUACUUGACAGCCAAUACUUUUCGCUUUCAUGUACACAACCCCUUAAAUUCACCUAAUCUCUUGACGUCAUCCCGCCAAUGAUGAUGGAGGAGUUGGCCGCCGCAGCCAAGGCCAAGGAAGCGUCGUUUCCGGUGGUGUUCUUUGAUGGCGAACAGGAGACCAGCCUCGGCAACGUCGUCGUUUCCCCUUUUUUGAAUUUCAAACUUUUCCAAUCCAUUAUCAGCGAGAAACUUGUUUUGUCUCCCCACCAGUUCUCUAUUUAUCUCACGGAUACGAGGCGUGGCUCAAGAAUCCCCGUCACCAGAAAGAUCAAUUUCUCAGCGGUUUCUUGCGAGAAGGAUUGCUUCUUUGUCGUUGUUCUCAAUCGAUCGAAGCGCGAGCGGAGGAGGAAGAGUCGCGAGAUGGCCGAAAAUAUGCAGAACCGGUUCGAUCCACCUGCAACUGUGAUGCUUUUGAGGCGAGACGGUAACACUAUUGCAAUCAACAGUACUGGGUUCUCUAACCUCGAUUUGGGCCUAGCCAGGUACGAAAGACGGGUCAGUGAGCUGCAGAUGGAGAAAGACAGGUACUUGAUGAAAAUGGGUUUGGGGUUCGAAGGGCUGAACUUGGGGGCAGAGAGAACGAAUAAAACAGUUGUUUGCGAGGAAUGCUCUAGGGCUAAAGAGAUGGGCAGAGAUGUUGGGUUCCAUUGGUGUGUCUACGACACAGUUACUUUCAGGUUCAGGUCACCGGCGGGUCCUAUUGCCCGGCCCGUUAAAGGAUCAAGUUAAUGAUGAUACAUGAUAGCGCGGCGCCGACAUUUGUUUUGAUUGAGAAGUUGUCAUGCAUAGCAGGAAGAAGACAAGAGGGGUAUGGGAUGGUAAUGGGUAAGUAAUGGUAUACCUUAUUAUACGGUAUAUGACUG